Molecule: ribosomal RNA, 497 nt
Filed under: uncultured bacterium
Lineage: Bacteria
Description: partial 16S ribosomal RNA
Rfam family: Bacterial small subunit ribosomal RNA (bases 54-497)
Source: RNAcentral
GGGGGGGGGGGGGGGGGGGGGGGGGGGGGGGGGGGCGGGGGGGGGGGGGGGGGGGGGGGGGCUGGGGCGUUGGCGGCGGAGGGGGGAGGAACACGGGGAGAACCGGCCUAUAAGACUGGGAUAACGGCGGGAAACCGGAGCUAAUACCGGAUAACAUGUUGAACCGCAUGGGUCAACAGGGAAAGAAGGUCUUGCUGGCACUUAUAGAUGGGUCCGCGCCGCAUUAGUGAGUUGGGAAGGUAACGGCUUACCAAGGCAAGGAUGCGUAGCCGACCUGAGGGGGUGAUCGGCCCCACUGGACCUGAGACACGGUCCAGACUCCUACGGGAGGCAGCAGUAGGGAAUCUUCCGCAAUGGGCGAAAGCCUGACGGAGCAACGCCGCGUGAGUGAAGAAGGUCUUCGGAUCGUAAAACUCUGUUAUUAGGGAAGAACAAAUGUGUAAGUAACUAUGCACGUCUUGACGGUACCUAAUCAGAAAGCCACGGCUAACUACGUG